GUUUCAUCUCACAUAUUCCUCAUAACAGCCCCGGAAGUAGAAACUGAAAUCAUACUUAUUUUAUAACAAAAGACACAACAUCUGACUGGUUCUGAAGUUUUAUGAAUCCUCUUUGGACAUAUGUAUUCUGGAAAUGGAUUCUGCCUUGAGCAAUAUGAUUCAUCAAGAGGUGAAAUUAGAGAAACAACUAGAACCAAAAGGAAAACAGGAAAAGCAAGAUGUGGAACUCAAAAAGGAAGUGCUAAACUGUUCUAUGUUGUCACUGG
Long non-coding RNA from Manis pentadactyla (Chinese pangolin), 266 nucleotides. RefSeq lists it as uncharacterized. Lineage: Eukaryota; Metazoa; Chordata; Mammalia; Pholidota; Manidae. The transcript is spliced from 3 exons. The record is from RefSeq and is a predicted model, not a curated record.